AAGAAAUUAGUUAAUUUAUAACAUUAGUAUGUCAUACUGAAAUUAUUAAAUACUUAAUAUUUCUUG
RNAcentral lists this transfer RNA (66 nucleotides) under Mecopoda niponensis. Its description in RNAcentral is "tRNA-Asp". The record is from RNAcentral. Lineage: Eukaryota; Metazoa; Arthropoda; Insecta; Orthoptera; Tettigoniidae.